This 232-nucleotide ribosomal RNA is filed under the name uncultured bacterium. RNAcentral's name for it is "partial 16S ribosomal RNA". It matches the Rfam family "Bacterial small subunit ribosomal RNA", at positions 99 to 334 of the family's 1533-position model. The record is from RNAcentral.
CGGACGGGUGAGUAAUGUAUAGGAACUUGCCUAGUAGUGGGGGACAACGUGUGGAAACGCACGCUAAUACCGCAUACGCUCUACGGAGGAAAGCGGGGGAUCUUCGGACCUCGUGCUACUAGAUGGGCCUAUAUUGGAUUAGCUAGUUGGUAAGGUAAAGGCUCACCAAGGCGACGAUCCGUAGCUGGUCUGAGAGGACGAUCAGCCACACUGGGACUGAGACACGGCCCAG